AACAGGUUAGUAACUAGCUAACAGACUUCAGGGAAUUUAGCCCACUGGCAUUAGCAGCUUUGAGAACAUCAGAUAAUUUAAAUAUCAGCAUUCUGAAAGAGGAUUCCAGUUCGUGUGGUGGGAAAGCAACCCCUUGCUGUGGCUUCAUUGUCAACAAGAAAGGCCCAAGAUCUUGGGACCCACACCUGAUGUGAGUUGAGCCUGCCACCUCCCAGCUACCUGGAGCACCAUAACUGGCCUUGCUGAGUGUAUAGAAUCCAAGGGGAAAGACUACUCAUGAGAAGUAUUGUUUAUCCCGUCCAAAAGAGAAACGUCCACCAAAGAAGGCUUUCAUUAUCUCAUCCAUCAGAGGCAAAAGCUAGGAAGCAGAGCAAUACUUUUAAGUGGGAAGAAGUUUCUAAGUUAUGGCUGGCAGAGAAAGGAGGGGAAGCAAGGGAUGUUGUCCUGGUUGUUCUGCUCACUUUGUCCUGCUUGAGAAAACCCCUGGCCUCUCAUACAUUCUCCUUUUACAAUAUCACUGAGUAUAUGGCCUCCUUCUGUGCCAAUUCUAAUUUAAACUCUAUUCAGUUCCCAUGUCUCUUCCUUACAUUAUCCCUUUUAGGACCAUUAAACUAUUUUUAUCAGCCCAUCCCUAGGUCCUGUCUAAAUUUCAUAUUUCCUGAGUCAAAGAAUCCCAAUAAAUAACUCCUAUGACCAAAAUCAACUCUAUGAAAAUUAGAUUUUCCAGCAAUGGAGAAACCACCCCACUAUGUCUCAUACACAGCUUGUGACCCACUGCAAUUCUGAGCUCUUCUUUCUUCUUCAGGAAAUAGUUUAUUCCUCUCUCCUGGGUGACUACUCU
This 841-nucleotide long non-coding RNA is filed under the name Homo sapiens (human). RNAcentral describes it as "HSALNT0153793". The record is from RNAcentral. Lineage: Eukaryota; Metazoa; Chordata; Mammalia; Primates; Hominidae.